This 460-nucleotide ribosomal RNA is filed under the name uncultured bacterium. RNAcentral describes it as "partial 16S ribosomal RNA". It matches the Rfam family "Bacterial small subunit ribosomal RNA", at positions 338 to 795 of the family's 1533-position model. The record is from RNAcentral.
CCUACGGGCGGCAGCAGUGAGGAAUAUUGGUCAAUGGACGAGAGUCUGAACCAGCCAAGUAGCGUGAAGGAUGACUGCCCUAUGGGUUGUAAACUUCUUUUAUAUGGGAAUAAAAUGUUCCACGUGUGGGAUUUUGUAUGUACCAUAUGAAUAAGGAUCGGCUAACUCCGUGCCAGCAGCCGCGGUAAUACGGAGGAUCCGAGCGUUAUCCGGAUUUAUUGGGUUUAAAGGGAGCGUAGGUGGAUUGUUAAGUCAGUUGUGAAAGUUUGUGGCUCAACCGUAAAAUUGCAGUUGAAACUGGCAGUCUUGAGUACAGUAGAGGUGGGCGGAAUUCGUGGUGUAGCGGUGAAAUGCUUAGAUAUCACGAAGAACUCCGAUUGCGAAGGCAGUUCACUGGACUGCAACUGACACUGAGGCUCGAAAGUGUGGGUAUCAAACAGGAUUAGAUACCCUUGUAGUC